Mustela lutreola (European mink) is the source of this 4150-nucleotide long non-coding RNA. RefSeq lists it as uncharacterized. The transcript has 4 exons. Lineage: Eukaryota; Metazoa; Chordata; Mammalia; Carnivora; Mustelidae. The record is from RefSeq and is a predicted model, not a curated record.
GGAGACACUCUGGAGGGAGGGCUACCUCACCCAUCCAGAGCACAGGUAACACCAGGAAAGGUUCUCGUGGGUGUCAUGAUUAUUUUUCCUAAUCCUCACACUCCAAUCAAACCCAUUUUACAGAUGAGGAAUGUCUGGCUCAGACUGCGUCCAGCCUCAUGCUACAUCCAGUGCCCAUUCUGCCGGCUCACUCCUCCAGUUGGAGCACAUUAGUGUUGUCCAGUAAGGUCGCUCUUUGCGGGGGUCUCAACCCCAGUCAGACUAAGUUGAAUAGGUCUGUUACUGCUAAGUGGAGGCUUCCAGAGGUGAUUUUAGGCGGUUUUGAGAGAGCAAAAGUAGUUCCACUCUCUCCCUCCUUCUCCUGUUGUCUCCUGGAAAGGGAACUUUCCGGAGAGGGCGGAGAAGGCUCGGUUUCCCCUUUCUGAUCUGUUGUAAUCAAGGCGCUGUCACCAGUUAGUGGCGGUUUACCCCAGACAGAGUCUGACGCAGUUUUGCUAAAGGAAACCACGCAAGUCUCCUAGCUUGGCACGACCCUUCCUUCCGGACAGGCCAGGAUGCCUGGGGGUGGGGAUGGGAACGCACCUCCUACUUGCCCCCUGGCAACCACCAACCAACUGAGCUCACCCGAGGCUUUCCCCAGGUAGCCAGUUUCCUUAUCUGUAAAAUGCAGAUAAAGACAGCCCCACCUAUUUCAGGGUCUUUUUGAAGGCCUUUGGGAGAGAAAACUCCUAAGGUGUUCAGCACAGGGAUUGGCAGCAAGUAAAAGGCAAUCCGACCGCUCCCCGAACCAGAGAGAGGAAGUCACGUGAGUGCAAGGUCACACUGCGGAAGAGGGUAGAGGGGGGAUUCGAACCAGGAUUCCCAGUGCAAGCCCAGACUCCGGCCACUUGCAGGAGCCCCAGCCUACUUUUGAUAAUGCGAUCCUCCCCACCCCUUUCCAUAAUACUUUUCACCGCAGCCUCCCCCCAUCCCCGCCGCGCAGCGCCUGCGCCUGUGCCUUCGCCAGGCGGCCUUCAGGGACCUCGCGGCUGCAGUCCCAAUGAGUCGCCCUCCGCCCUCUCUGGCGACCUGAAUUGCUGGGAAGAAAAACUGCUUCCUCCCCAGUCCAACAACCCAGCUCUGCGUCUACCCAGAACCGCCCGAGGAAAUAUCCUCGGCUCCCCACCUCCCUCUAUCCUCCGCCCCCGACUCUCGGACACAGCUCCAUCGACGCCACGAUGGCCGCGAGAAGUGGGAUCAAGUGCCGCUGGCUUUCCCCGCGGGCAGAACAGAAAGAGAGACGUGUCACACCCGCUAAUCCCCCAACAGGGUCCACUCAGGCGGCCUCUAGUUGGUCUCUUCUGGUGGCGGAGGCGGAACCUCGAGCUCAGUGGCCAAUGAAGAAGCUCGCGGUGGGGGGUGGGAAAUGCUUUUUGGUUGCCAUGGCAACGGGUCUCUGCUUCCAUCUUCCCACUGGGUGGAGCCCGCUUUUCCAAGAACCGCUUUCUCUGGUCCCAGUUCGACUUCAGGGUAGAGUGGGGGUCGGAAGUUGGGGGAAAGGUAGGACACGAACCCUUCACAAAUGCCCAGAGUGUAGAUGAGCCCACCGUGCCCAAGGAUAACAAGAGAAAUAAUAAGAAAGAUAAUAAAAGAAAGCUGCUUAGAGGAGGGACGGUAUGAAUAGGGUUCUGCGAGAAGGGACAAAGAAACCCAAUGUAUUGCAGUGGACUGGACACAGCCCUGCAGGGGCAAGCCACAGGGCUGGACAAAUUUAGGUUGGAAUAAGUGGAGCAGGUGCUUAGCAAGCCGAUUAGGGCUUCCAAGCCAAGACCCACCCAAGGAAGGGUGGGGGACUAAGAUGAGCAGCUACAGCAGAAUUGUUGGUCCUGCAUUGUCCUUCAGUCCCCGGCGGGAGGAGAGAACCUAGGGUCAGCUAGGCCAUUCUCUUGCCUCUAGGCAGCUUGCACUGUGUCUUGGGUAUAGUCACAUCCGGUCUUGGGCAUUCAUUAACUCCACACUCUUCCCAGGAAAGAGGAAGGUGACCAGGUUCAUUGUUCCCAUUUCACAGAUGAGGAAACUGAUGCCUGUCUGGUAAAGUAUCUCACCCUUGGGCCCUAGGGCUUGGCAUUGGCCCAAGCAGGGCUCUCCAGGCCUUUAAUUCCCUGGUGUGGUGGGUUGGCCAAGGACUCCCAUGCCAUAGAUCUGAUGUUGUCCAUCCUUGCUAAUGACCCAGGGAUGUGGGAGCCAACCGAACCCCAUGUUUAAUGAGGUGAGCCAGGACAGAGAACUUUGCUCCUGCCUCUGAUAGCCCUGGGUGGUUGGGGGUGCAGUGCAGCAGGACUCCCAGAUCAGUCACUCUGGGAGGGAGUCCAGUGUCACCCCACACGACUGGUCUCAAAGCCCACAGUCCAGUGGGGAGAGAGACCUGCAGUGAUAUGAUAAAUGCUGGAUAAAUGUGGAUAAAGCUCAAGGACAGGGGUGCCUGAGUCUGCCUAGGGGAACCAGUGGAGACCUCACAGGGCAGACAGUCUUUCAGGUGACACAAAACACAGAAGCCUUUGCUAGGAAGACAAACAAGGGGAGGGCAUCCCAGGCAGAGGGAACAGCAUUUGCAAAGACCUGGAGGCUGAGCAUGGUGUGCUGGGGAAGCUACAGUCUGGGAGUCCAGAGUGGGACUAAGGCCCAGGGCAAGACUGUGUUCCCUGCAGUGGGGUGCUUUCGACCCCUUUCUGAACCAUGAGGCACCACAUUUGCUUUUCUGUAGCUGAUACAUUAAUGGAACCCUAAGAACGACUUGUGAGGAUCCUACUUUGAGAAGCACUGGGCAGAAGCUAACAUGGAUGACCCUCAGGGGCGUUAUGUUGGGAGAAAGAAGCCCGCGACCAAAGAGUCACUCUAUAUGGCUCAGUUGUAUCAAGUUCAAAAAUGGGCAAAACCGAUCUAUGCUAUGAAGGAUAAUGGUUAUCACUGAGAGGUGUAGGAGUUCUUGAAGAGGGUCUUGGGAGAGAUGGUAAUAAUCUUAGUUUCCUGUUGGUUUUACAGAUGUGUUCUCUUUGUGAAAAUUCAUCCAGCUCUUUACUUAAGGUUUGCGUAUUUUUCCAUAUGUAGCGUCUCCUUAAAUUAAAAAUAAAAAACAAAACUCAAGUUGACUGCUUUUCAUAAACAUUAGUGCAAAUGGAGACGCUAAAAUUUUGUGAUCACAUAAUUGGCUGUAAGCCAAGCAUCCAGAUGAUGUAGAAUCUGUUUAUACUGUCUUUUUUUUUUUUUUUUUUAAGAUUAUUCCAAAAUGAGAACAUAGGCAUCUUAAAGUCUUGUAGAGACAUCUCAAACACCAGAGAACUCUUGUAUAGACACCAGGGUUUGAGAAACUCCAGCUCAAGCAAUGCUCACUGCCGGGGACGCCUGGAUGGCUCAGUCAGUCCAUCACCUUGGCUCAGUGCAUGUCACCAAAAAUUCUCCAGGGAUUUCAUGGUCUGCGGAGGAGAGUGGUAGCAGUUAGCUUGGUGAUCACGUGGCCUGGAGCCUCCGCAAACAAGCCAACCUCCUGGCUGCUGGCCUGCCCACCUCAGCCCCAACCUGUCUCCCUCCUGCACUGUUACUCCCGGAGGCGUUAGCAGAUGGCCUCUAAGCACAGCGUCUGGAGCUGGACCGCUGCCAAGGGGGACACAGGCAGAGGACGGAUAGGCAGACUGUAAGUGAGAUGCCUGCGCAGCCCGAAUGCCUGGGGCUUCCAGGCAGCGGGCUGUACUAGCACCUGAAAGACUGCCUGUGAUUCCACCAGAGGGCGAGUGGUCUCUCCUGCUCCCAGCCUGCUGGCUCCCUCCCAGACCCACUGUGAGGCGGCCCAUCUACCCUGUUCCAUCUCUUCCUGUCAGGAAGGGCAGAGGAAGAGGAUGGGAUCUUGGCUCACCAUGCUCACGUGUUUCUUCGUGAUGUCAGGUGGCCCCCGAAAGACGAAGCUGCUCCACCUGCCAGCUCCCCCAGAUGAAAACAAAAUGGCAACUGGAGUUAUGGAGAAGAAGAGGGCACCUACAUGUGCUUGCUCGUCAGAGAUUACCAAAAACAUAAGCAAGAGCGGUCGCCUCCAGCAGACUGGUAGGCAGGGCCGGAGGGAGGCCUUCACUGUAUACCAGUUCAAAAACUGCCAAUUAAAAAAUUGUAGAUAAAAACA